This 67-nucleotide transfer RNA is filed under the name Sphyranura euryceae. RNAcentral's name for it is "tRNA-Ile". The record is from RNAcentral. Lineage: Eukaryota; Metazoa; Platyhelminthes; Monogenea; Polystomatidea; Sphyranuridae.
AUUAGUAGGGCUGCAAAGGCAGGUUACUCUGAUAUAGUAAUAUUUGAGGUUUAUUCUUCCGCUAAUA